RNAcentral lists this transfer RNA (77 nucleotides) under Verrucomicrobiales bacterium. Its description in RNAcentral is "tRNA-Met". It matches the Rfam family "tRNA". From Rfam's summary of the family: Transfer RNA (tRNA) molecules are approximately 80 nucleotides in length. Lineage: Bacteria; Pseudomonadati; Verrucomicrobiota; Verrucomicrobiia; Verrucomicrobiales. The record is from RNAcentral.
GGGUUCGUAGCUCAAUAGGUUAGAGCAUCCGACUCAUAAUCGGCAGGUUCAGGGUUCAAGUCCCUGCGAACCCACCA